Molecule: ribosomal RNA, 166 nt
Filed under: uncultured bacterium
Lineage: Bacteria
Description: partial 16S rRNA
Rfam family: Bacterial small subunit ribosomal RNA
Source: RNAcentral
UAGGGAAUCUUCGGCAAUGGGGGCAACCCUGACCGAGCAACGCCGCGUGAGUGAAGAAGGUUUUCGGAUCGUAAAGCUCUGUUGUAAGAGAAGAACGUGUGUGAGAGUGGAAAGUUCACACAGUGACGGUAACUUACCAGGAAGGGACGGCUAACUACGUGCCCGA